This 689-nucleotide ribosomal RNA is filed under the name uncultured bacterium. Its description in RNAcentral is "bacterial SSU rRNA". It matches the Rfam family "Bacterial small subunit ribosomal RNA", at positions 38 to 715 of the family's 1533-position model. The record is from RNAcentral.
AGCUACAGGCUUAACACAUGCAAGUCGAGGGGCAUCAGUUUGGUUUGCUUGCAAACCAAAGCUGGCGACCGGCGCACGGGUGAGUAACACGUAUCCAACCUGCCUCAUACUCGGGGAUAGCCUUUCGAAAGAAAGAUUAAUAUCCGAUAGCAUAUAUUUCCCGCAUGGGUUUUAUAUUAAAGAAAUUCGGUAUGAGAUGGGGAUGCGUUCCAUUAGUUUGUUGGCGGGGUAACGGCCCACCAAGACUACGAUGGAUAGGGGUUCUGAGAGGAAGGUCCCCCACAUUGGAACUGAGACACGGUCCAAACUCCUACGGGAGGCAGCAGUGAGGAAUAUUGGUCAAUGGACGCGAGUCUGAACCAGCCAAGUAGCGUGAAGGAUGACUGCCCUAUGGGUUGUAAACUUCUUUUAUAUGGGAAUAAAGUGGUCCACGUGUGGAUUUUUGUAUGUACCAUAUGAAUAAGGAUCGGCUAACUCCGUGCCAGCAGCCGCGGUAAUACGGAGGAUCCGAGCGUUAUCCGGAUUUAUUGGGUUUAAAGGGAGCGUAGGCGGGUGCUUAAGUCAGUUGUGAAAGUUUGCGGCUCAACCGUAAAAUUGCAGUUGAUACUGGGUACCUUGAGUGCAGCAUAGGUAGGCGGAAUUCGUGGUGUAGCGGUGAAAUGCUUAGAUAUCRCGAAGAACUCCGAUUG